GCCGGAGUAGCUCAGUCGGUAGAGCAACUGAUUCGUAAUCAGUAGGUCGGAGGUUCGAUUCCUCUCUUCGGCACCA
RNAcentral lists this transfer RNA (76 nucleotides) under Gammaproteobacteria bacterium RBG_16_57_12. RNAcentral's name for it is "tRNA-Thr". It matches the Rfam family "tRNA". Rfam says of the family: Transfer RNA (tRNA) molecules are approximately 80 nucleotides in length. Their secondary structure includes four short double-helical elements and three loops (D, anti-codon, and T loops). Lineage: Bacteria; Pseudomonadati; Pseudomonadota; Gammaproteobacteria. RNAcentral also lists the same sequence under 1 other name. The record is from RNAcentral.